CAGAUGUCUUCAGACUGGUCACGUGAUGUACAGGAUCUUCAGAGAGCAGCACUGACAUCGCCCUUCACAUCAUUACACUGGUAGGGCAGGGUGUCAAGGUAACUGCCCCUUGGGGGCUGGGUUGAUACCCUGCACUUCAGUGCCAUUCAACCCGGAUCUUCUCGUGAUGAAGCGGUAUAAUCCGCGAAACUAGUUGAGAUACUGUUACAACCCUCAACUCAUCGCAAUGUCUUCUCCUUCUGGGGACCUCUGUUUUGGUGCUGUUGGAUGGCUGUCACAAUUUUAAUUCUGUAAUUGUCUUGUCUGUGCUUUGAAAUAAAAAUGUAUUAAUUUUUA
Long non-coding RNA from Rana temporaria (common frog), 336 nucleotides. RefSeq lists it as uncharacterized. The record is from RefSeq and is a predicted model, not a curated record. NCBI's taxonomy places the organism in Eukaryota, Metazoa, Chordata, Amphibia, Anura, Ranidae. The transcript has 2 exons.